UGUUAAAAACUUCAUCCUUUUGUAUUGUUAAAAACCGGCGAGGUUGACAGGAUAACCAUACAGUGACAUGUAUCAUGCCAUGUAUACUGCAUGCUAACGUACAAAGACCUGUUUUUAAUAGUAGAAAUGAAUAAAAUUUUAAUA
This is a non-coding RNA of Gossypium raimondii (Peruvian cotton), 144 nucleotides long. Lineage: Eukaryota; Viridiplantae; Streptophyta; Magnoliopsida; Malvales; Malvaceae. The record is from Rfam.